AUACGUAGGGGGCUAGCGUUGUCCGGAUUUACUGGGCGUAAAGGGUGAGUAGGCGGUUACAUAUGUCAGAUGUAAAAGGCUAUGGCUUAACCAUAGUUGGCAUUUGAAACUGUAUUACUUGAGUGCAGGAGAGGUAAGUGGAAUUCCUAGUGUAGCGGUGAAAUGCGUAGAUAUUAGGAGGAACACCAGUGGCGAAGGCGACUUACUGGACUGUAACUGACGCUGAGUCACGAAAG
RNAcentral lists this ribosomal RNA (236 nucleotides) under uncultured bacterium. Its description in RNAcentral is "partial 16S ribosomal RNA". It matches the Rfam family "Bacterial small subunit ribosomal RNA", at positions 523 to 759 of the family's 1533-position model. The record is from RNAcentral.